RNAcentral lists this ribosomal RNA (828 nucleotides) under uncultured Actinomycetes bacterium. RNAcentral's name for it is "bacterial SSU rRNA". It matches the Rfam family "Bacterial small subunit ribosomal RNA", at positions 59 to 863 of the family's 1533-position model. The record is from RNAcentral. Lineage: Bacteria; Bacillati; Actinomycetota; Actinomycetes.
AAGUCGAACGCGAAAGUUUCCUUCGGGGAACAAGUAGAGUGGCGCACGGGUGAGUAACACGUAGGUAAUCUACCUUUGGAUGGGGAAUAACAACCGGAAACGGUUGCUAAUACCGCAUAAUGCAGCGGCACCUAAUGGUGACAGUUGUUAAAGCGGGGGAUCGAAAGACCUCGCGUCUGAAGAGGAGCCUGCGGCGGAUUAGCUAGUUGGUAAGGUAACGGCUUACCAAGGCGAUGAUCCGUAGCCGGCCUGAGAGGGCGGUCGGCCACACUGACACUGACAUACGGGUCAGACUCCUACGGGAGGCAGCAGUCGGGAAUUUUGGGCAAUGGGCGAAAGCCUGACCCAGCAACGCCGCGUGAAGGAUGAAAUCCUUCGGGAUGUAAACUUCGCAAGAACGGGAAGAAUAAGUAAGGGUUAAUAUCUCUUACGAUGACGGUACUGUUUGUAAGCUCCGGCUAACUCCGUGCCAGCAGCCGCGGUAAUACGGGGGGAGCAAGCGUUGUUCGGAUUUACUGGGCGUAAAGGGCGCGUAGGCGGCCACCGCAAGUCGGUUGUGAAAUCUCUGGGCUUAACCCAGAAAGGUCAACCGAUACUGCGGGGCUAGAGUGCAGAAGGGGCAACUGGAAUUCUCGGUGUAGCGGUGAAAUGCGUAGAUAUCGAGAGGAACACCUGCGGCGAAGGCGGGUUGCUGGGCUGACACUGACGCUGAUGCGCGAAAGCUAGGGGAGCGAACGGGAUUAGAUACCCCGGUAGUCCUAGCCUUAAACGAUGAAUGCUUGGUGUCUGGGGUUUUAUAGUCCCCGGGUGCCGUCGCUAACGCUUUAA